GCCAGGUGCUCUGGCCCCACCUGUAUUCCUAGCUACUUGGGAGGCUGAGACAGGAGGAUUGCAAGUUUGAGGCCAGCCUGGGCAACAUUAGGAGAGCCUGUCUCAA
This 106-nucleotide small RNA is filed under the name Marmota monax (woodchuck). The record is from RNAcentral. Lineage: Eukaryota; Metazoa; Chordata; Mammalia; Rodentia; Sciuridae.